This 72-nucleotide transfer RNA is filed under the name Dipodomys ordii (Ord's kangaroo rat). It matches the Rfam family "tRNA". From Rfam's summary of the family: Transfer RNA (tRNA) molecules are approximately 80 nucleotides in length. Their secondary structure includes four short double-helical elements and three loops (D, anti-codon, and T loops). Further hydrogen bonds mediate the characteristic L-shaped molecular structure. tRNAs have two regions of fundamental functional importance: the anti-codon, which is responsible for specific mRNA codon recognition, and the 3' end, to which the tRNAs corresponding amino acid is attached (by aminoacyl-tRNA synthetases). tRNAs cope with the degeneracy of the genetic code in two manners: having more than one tRNA (with a specific anti-codon) for a particular amino acid; and 'wobble' base-pairing, i.e. permitting non-standard base-pairing at the 3rd anti-codon position. The record is from Rfam by way of RNAcentral. Lineage: Eukaryota; Metazoa; Chordata; Mammalia; Rodentia; Heteromyidae.
GGGAAUGUGGCUUAGUGGUAGAGUGCUUGCUUAGCAUGCAUGAAGCCUUGGGUUCGAUUCCUCAGCACCCCA